GGCCAGACUCCUACGGGAGGCAGCAGUGAGGAAUAUUGGUCAAUGGGCGCGAGCCUGAACCAGCCAAGUAGCGUGAAGGAUGACUGCCCUACGGGUUGUAAACUUCUUUUGCCGGGGAGCAACGGGCGUCACGUGUGGCGCCACUGAGAGUACCCGGAGAAAAAGCAUCGGCUAACUCCGUGCCAGCAGCCGCGGUAAUACGGAGGAUCCGAGCGUUAUCCGGAUUUAUUGGGUUUAAAGGGAGCGUAGAUGGGUUGUUAAGUCAGUUGUGAAAGUUUGCGGCUCAACCGUAAAAUUGCAAUUGAUACUGGCAGCCUUGAGUACAGUUGAGGUAGGCGGAAUUCGUGGUGUAGCGGUGAAAUGCUUAGAUAUCACGAAGAACUCCGAUUGCGAAGGCAGCCUACUAAACUGCCACUGACAUUGAUGCUCGAAAGUGUGGGUAUCAAACAGGAUUAGAUACCCGAGUAC
RNAcentral lists this ribosomal RNA (468 nucleotides) under uncultured bacterium. Its description in RNAcentral is "bacterial SSU rRNA". It matches the Rfam family "Bacterial small subunit ribosomal RNA", at positions 329 to 793 of the family's 1533-position model. The record is from RNAcentral.